UUACUUAGUGGCGGACGGGUGAGUAACGCGUGGGGAACCUGCCCUGUACCGGGGGAUAGCAGCCGGAAACGGCUGAUAAUACCGCAUAAGCGCACGAAUGUCGCAUGACAUGGUGUGAAAAACUCCGGUGGUAUAGGAUGGACCCGCGUCUGAUUAGCCGGUUGGUGGGGUAAAAGCCUACCAAAGCGAAGAUCAGUAGCCGGCCUGAGAGGGCGGACGGCCACAUUGGGACUGAGAUACGGCCCAGACUCCUACGGGAGGCAGCAGAA
RNAcentral lists this ribosomal RNA (269 nucleotides) under uncultured bacterium. RNAcentral's name for it is "partial 16S ribosomal RNA". It matches the Rfam family "Bacterial small subunit ribosomal RNA", at positions 88 to 354 of the family's 1533-position model. The record is from RNAcentral.